AAAAAAAAAAAAAAAAAACAAUAAGAUAAUCUAAUAUCCCAUUACUUACGUAUUAAUAGUGUGUCAUUUUAAGAAAGAUGUAUGCCAUGAUAUAGACAAUUCAAUUUUAGGUAGAUCAUGGUACCUGAACAAGCAGAUAUCUUUACUUGGAUGUGACACAGAGCAGGCAGCUGCAGGGCCAGAGUACUGUUAAUAGGGAAAGAACUCAAGUUGGUGUCAUUGAGUAAGAUGCAAGGACAAUCAGGUUGCUGCAAGUAGACUUGCUUAAGGUUGUAACAGCAAGAUGGUGAUGGUGACUGGGCUACGCCUUGGACAAAUGGUGCACAUGGGGUCAGUGGCAGCAGCUGUGGGGUGCAAUUAGCUAUUGUUGGGUCUGGGGUGAUGGGGGUGUCCUGUGACUGUGAGACAGCUUUGGAUGGAAGAAAAAUGAGGAACAGCAGAACAAGGACAGUAAUGGCAAUAGGAGAUUGAGGAUAAAGAAAAGCGAUGGUAUGUUGGCUAUUGGAAUCAGAAAUUUAUGGUUAAGAUGGUGAUUAAUUAAAUAAGAUGAAAGUGCAUUUUGAGCAUGAGUUGUUACAUGCAUGGUGUGUGUUAUUCUGCAAUCUGCAUGUACUUCUUGUUCACUCUCUCUCGCUCUGCCCACCUAGCUAACUGUUCCUCUAUCAAGCUCGGGUUAAUGAUAGGGUGCAAAAAUUCUUUCAUUUUCCAUAAUCUGCCACUCUAAUUCUAGCAAACUUUAUUUUUGAAAAUUUCCCUUAUGGAGAGGAUAAUGCCACUUGUUGGAAGCUAGAAAUCAACAUUUAAUCAUGCUAAAAAGUAAGUUAAUUAAUUUUCUAAUCAGAUUUUUUUU
Molecule: unclassified non-coding RNA, 850 nt
Filed under: Hevea brasiliensis (rubber tree)
Lineage: Eukaryota; Viridiplantae; Streptophyta; Magnoliopsida; Malpighiales; Euphorbiaceae
Source: RNAcentral